GGGGAAAUGAAUGGAUGUGGCAGCAAUCAAAGCGCUUUGAUGACUGUCCAAACCACUGACCAAAAUGUGCUGGCUUGCUGCGGUGACGAGGCCUACAAUCCAGUCAAUGAAAUAUGCUGUGACUCAGCCAUCAGGGUGAAACCUGCUGUUAAGAGCAAGUGUUGUGGUAAAGAGGCCAUCAAUGAGGAUAAGCAGUUGUGCUGUCAAAUCAACAAGACGAUAACAAGGACUUCAAGUCUAUACCAGUGCUGUGGAAGUGAAGAGUAUAACACUGAGACUCACUGUUGUGAUAG
Long non-coding RNA from Oreochromis aureus, 293 nucleotides. RefSeq lists it as uncharacterized. The record is from RefSeq and is a predicted model, not a curated record. Lineage: Eukaryota; Metazoa; Chordata; Actinopteri; Cichliformes; Cichlidae. The transcript is spliced from 3 exons.